UUAAUAAAGAGUUUGAUCCUGGCUCAGGACGAACGCUGGCGGCACGCUUAACACAUGCAAGUCGAACGGAGAUAUUUUGAGUUUACUUAGGAUAUCUUAGUGGCGGACGGGUGAGUAACACGUGAGCAACCUGCCUUGGAGAGAGGGAUAGCUUCUGGAAACGG
This is a non-coding RNA of Ruminococcus flavefaciens, 164 nucleotides long. Lineage: Bacteria; Bacillati; Bacillota; Clostridia; Eubacteriales; Oscillospiraceae. The record is from Rfam.